AAGAGCAAUUUAAAGGAGGUACAGCUCCUUUAAAAAAGAACACAAUCUCCCCCAGAGGAUAAGUACUCAACACACACACCUGUAGGCCCUAAAGCAGCCAUCAACAAAGAAUGCGUCAAAGCUCUCCCACAUAAAAAUAUAAAAACAUAUACGACUCCCUCACCCACAGCGGGCUAACCUAUACGAAUAGGAGAAUCAAUGCUAGAAUAAGUAACUAAGGAAACUCCUUCUAAAGCACAAACUUACAUACCACAUUAUUAACAGACCCACCAUAUACCUCAACUAUCACAAGACGAAGUAUCAAAUAUAGCUCUGUUAGGCCAACCCAGGCGUGCUCUACUAGAAAGAUUCAAACCUGUAAAAGGAACUAGGCAAACUCAAGGCCCGACUGUUUACCAAAAACACAGCCUUCAGCAAACCAAGUAUUGAAGGUGAUGCCUGCCCAGUGACACAAAGUUCAACGGCCGCGGUAUCCUAACCGUGCAAAGGUAGCGCAAUCAAUUGUCCCAUAAAUCGAGACUUGUAUGAAUGGCCAAACGAGGUCUUAACUGUCUCUUACAGGUAAUCAGUGAAAUUGAUCUCCCCGUGCAAAAGCAGGGAUAAACCCAUAAGACGAGAAGACCCUGUGGAACUUAAAAACCAGCAGCCAACCCAGACCAAACAAAAACCUACCGGGCUUACUACCUAAAACAAUCUGGCCUGCAUUUUUCGGUUGGGGCGACCUUGGAGUAAAACAAACCCUCCAAAAAUAAGACCACCCAUCUUAACUAAGACCAACCACCCUAAGUACUAAUAGUAACCAGACCCAGCACAGCUGACCAAUGAACCAAGCUACCCCAGGGAUAACAGCGCAAUCCCCCUCAAGAGCUCAUAUCGACAGGGGGGUUUAC
This 890-nucleotide ribosomal RNA is filed under the name Zapornia tabuensis (spotless crake). Its description in RNAcentral is "partial 16S ribosomal RNA". It matches the Rfam family "Bacterial large subunit ribosomal RNA", at positions 1582 to 2521 of the family's 2925-position model. Lineage: Eukaryota; Metazoa; Chordata; Aves; Gruiformes; Rallidae. The record is from RNAcentral.